UUUAGUCCAACAAAUCUCCUAUAAAUGCUGUCUUUCCAUGCUAGAUUCACAUAUCCACCCAACAAAGUUAAUUGGGAAUACAGAAAUUCUGCAUUCUUUCUUUGUUCAAAAACAGAUAUAUUUGCGAGUCUCAAUGGAAUUUAGGAGGGCAUGCACUUUAUUGAUCAUCCUCUUUAUCGUUGUUUCUGUUGCUAAUGAGGUUCGAGUCGAAGCAGCAAGAGUUUUAUCAGAGGAUAUAUCUGGAUCAAAUCACCUCGCUACCUUUCCAGCAAUGUACGAGAAUGCGAAAUUCACCAUGUCUUACUGGCUUGAAAGGUUACCAUCUGGACCUAGCCCCAAAGGACCAGGCCAUUAAUUGAACAUUGGAGGGCAUUUCUUUCAAUAUAGAAGGAAGGAUACUACAAGAAAAUGUAGCAAUGUGGCACCAGUGUGUGCUAUGUAGGGAAGCCGUAAAAACACUUUAUUUUCUAUUUUUCUUCUUGCAUUCUUUCUUUAUUCCUUUGUUGGUUAAUUACAAAGUUUUAUACAAUUUAAAUACGUAAAUGAAAUAAAUUCUAUUUUUUAUUAAUUACUCUGUCUCCUAUAUAUGUUACAAUUAGUGCAUGGUUUCACUGUAGAUGUCGACUAUAUUGUUUAAGAAGGGCAAAAUUUCCAGUUUUCGCCUCCAAUCCCGAAUUAUUGGAAUUUUUUUUCGUGUCGAUGCAAUGAAUAAGUGUAGGCCCAUUAAGCUUUCAUGACAGUAUACGAUGUAGGUUAUGAUUACGUUCCAUCUCCUCUAAGAGAAAAUCCUAAAUAGUUUUGGCUUGACGUCCCAACUAAGUCGUCACUAUAGUUUGGAGAGUACUAUAGGGGAAGAUCUGGCCUAGGUGUGUGCAUACCUUUCGUGACGAAUCAGCGACACUUUGCCAUUUGUACGCAUUAUGAAGAGGUAAUACUUUAUAGCUUUUUAUAUAUAUUUAUGUUCUAUUUCGAUGUGCGUACCACGAUUGAAUCUAGAAAUUCUAACAACGCAUAGGAGAGAUUGGCUAGCUAGCUAGGGUGUUUUUUUUUUUAGUUUUUUAAUUAUGAAUUCAACUCUCUAAUAGCAAUUCGUCCUUCUACGUUUCAAAUGGACAUUCCUCGUGAAGCAUGCUUUGGAUAAUCAACUAUUGUAAUCUGCUUCAAGUAGUGAUUUCGAGUAGGAAGAUCCAGAAAAUCAAAAGUAUCUUAUCUGAUGUAUUAUGACUAUAAACAAGGAUGAGACCAUGUGAAUUUUAGCCUCCAUUUUAAUACCAGUUUAUAAAUAAUUUAUAAAUUCGAUCAAAAUCAAUCAUCAAUUUCAAGUUGUACGUUUAUUAUUACUACUCAUAAUUAUUCGCACGUUUGUGAAAUCGACUACUUUUCCUCUUUUUAAACCAUCUCCAAAUUUACGAAUCCAAGGCUAAUUAGUUUUUAGUUUUAUUGUAAGUUUCUUUUACUUUUAUUUGUUACAUAAAUUUUUCUCCUUGAAGAUGCAUAGAGUUAUUCAAAUAGUUAAAUAUCCCACAUUUUCAUUACGAAAAAAAAUCAGAUUUUUUAGUAGAUUUUGAUAAAAGCUUAAAAUGUGAGGUUGAAAAGUUAAUAAAAUUUAUGAAUCCCAUAAAAUAUAUUUGUAAAAUUGAAUUUGUAAAAAAAAAAAUUUAAUUUUAAAAAUUGGGACAAACAAAGGCUUAAAUAUUCAAAACACGUAACCAUAAGAUAUUGAGUGCACGAUUAAAAUCUCUUCAUUUUCCACGUGUACAUGCAAAAUUUAUGGAAGGGACAAGAAACCAUAAUGGUAACCAAGUUGUCAGCACGAAGCACAUACGUUCAUAUGGGAUGGUUUGUUCACAAACAAAAAUAUACUUUCUCCUAAUGGUUCAAAGAGCGAAUUACAAAAGUCAAGUUAUAUAGAAAUUAUCACAUCACAUCCCCACCUGUCCGAUAUAGAGCCUAUUUGAGCCCGAUUUUUUCAUCCAAAAAAUUGAUUUUUUGACCGUUACUUCAUUAUUCCAACCGUCAUACUUGACUUCUUCUCUCACAGGUAGACCCCACUUUUCUCGUAACAGUCAAAAAAUCAAUUUUCAAAAUCACUCCCAAACAAACUUAUAGUCUAUGUUUGGCUCCCAUUAUUUCAAGAACUCAUAUUUUUUCAGAAAUCAUUUUCUAACACAUUCUCACGUAAAAUAAUAUUACACGUAAAUAAAAAAAAUGAUUCUAAAAUACAUCUUUACCAAAAUUACAUUUUAAUGGAAUCCAAAAAAGGGCAUAAUGUCCAUUUGUCGAUAUGGCGUUAUCAAAUCAACAAGCCAAACCUUUUUUCGCUUGAAAAGUUAGAAAAAAAUAUGGCUUUACUACUAAUGUGAUUACGCCAUAUGGGCAAUUGCUAUCCUAACCACUGUGAGUUGAGCAUGUUUCUAAAGCUAUAAUUGAAUGUUAUAGAAACAUUUUAUGCCUUUUCAAAAGUUACAGAAUCAUCUCUUCAUGUUUAAAUUUUAUUUUUUUUCAUCAAUAAGUUUCCUUGUCAACCAAUAUUAAUUAUGGAAUUCCUAUUUUACCCUUUUUUUGUAUUAUAUUUUUAUACUUUCCGUUUAAUGAAAUUUUAUUACAAUUUUUCCUUGUUCUCUUAUUACUUAGAAAAUUUUUUCCAUGUUUUGAAUAGCUGUACUGCUACAAAUUAAAAGAAAUGACUUGAACAAUUUUUAAAUAAAAUAAAAUUAUAAUUUUUGCAAAUACUAAAAAUAGCUUAUUUGUUUACAAAUAAGUAAAUAGGGGUGAACAUGGUCUAAUUUUCUUGGAAAUCAAAUCAAACUAGACCAUAUGAAGUUAGUUUUAACCAUUAAAAUCUAGUACAUGUGACACGGCAUCUUGAAAAAAUAAAAUUUAAAAUGAUAAAUAUGUCUGCCAUAGUUCUAUAAUAAUAAUUAACUAGUCUCUCGAGACAUAGCCCAAUGAUGUAAAGGACAGAAGUGAGGUUAUCUCACGCCUUACUGACAGUCGCAGUGUGGGGGUUCGAUUCCUGAAACAUGGAAUUGAACUCUUUGUAGGCGCAGUGUACAGUCAGCUCUUGUUCCCUGACCUGUUGGGAUACAUCCCGCGAUUUACCUCCCUCACAAAGCUCUAGAAAUGGGACGGUGAGGACUUUCAAAGUUGGGGUUCAACUUUUUUUUAAUUAACUGAGUGGUUGUUGAGUCCAAUUUGCAAUGCCAACGAGAGUUGAAACUUAUGUUCAUGCUUUGUUCACUUGUGAGUAAAGCCAGUUUGGAAAUAUUUUGAGCACCAAAGUUUAGGUUAUAUUUUCAUUUGAAAGAAAUAUUAUAUGUGGCUGUAAUAAUUUUUAAUUAAUUAGAAACAUUUUUGUCUUUGAUCAUCCAUUCUCUCUCUCUCUCUCUCUCUCUCUCUCUCUCUCUCUCUCUCUCUCUCUCUCCCCCCCCCCCCCCUUAAUAUUUUUUUAUUAAGGAUCAUUUGCACCAACCAAAAAAUUGGAUCGUCUUCCGAAGAUUUAGAGCAUAUAGCAUACAUGAAUGAUGAACUCGUAGAAAGGUCAAACUCUAGGGUUAUACGAUUAAAGUUAAUUUUAAUUAAAUGAAAAUUAGAUUCUCAAUUUAUGUAGAGUGGAAUAUUCAACACACGCGAUCUACAAUAUGAAAGAAGCUAUACUUUUUCCGCGUGUUUUCAAUCUUCCAAAAACUUGGCUGCGGAAUUUAUGGUCACUGUGUACACUAAUUUUCCACAAGUCUUCAAAUUUAUGCCAUUGUACAUGAUUUCAUUAUACUCUAGUCCCUCAAAAUUGGUAAAAUAUUAUUUUCCCACAAUUUUCUUUCUUUUCCUUUUAAUUUGAGUCAAAAUAUAUGACAUUUAUGUUGUUCGUAUGUAAUUUCUCAAGAAUUUCAAUGAAUUAUCAAUCCUUUUAAAAAAUGCAAAAUAGACUUUGUUUAGUAUACGAAUUUAGAUUUCGUUCUUGAUUUUACAAUUUUUAUUUAAUAUUAACAAAUACGUCAUCAGUGAUUUCUAUAAAAAAGAACGAAACACAUUCAGGAGUUGCAGAAUCAGAUGAUGAAAGCAUUUGAAUGAGAAACCCUUUCAAAGUCUACGUUCAAGCUGUUGAACCAAAUACAUAAAUAAUGAAGGGUAAUAUAGUAAUUAAGGGUGCGGUUGGUUUCCAUUUUCAUUUUCAAAAUGAUUUUUAGUUUUCUCCAAAACGGCCCGUUUUCCGCAUUUUGAGCGUUUUCGACAUUUAUAACUGAAAACGCUGAAAACGAUAAAAAGUCGUUUUGCGUUUUCAGUUAUAAAUUUUAACUCAUUUUCGAAAAUGCGUUUCCGAAAACGAAGGACCAAAAGUGUUUUUCGCGUUUUGAAAAACGAAAAAUGGAAAAUGGGCCGAAAACGGCAAAUCAACCAUGGCCUAAAACUCUUAUGGCGAGUCUAUGUGGAGCUUCUCAUGUAACAAAAUUCCCAUUCUAAAUGGCAGUCUAUUCAACACAAAGUACUUGAUGCAUCCAGUCAAUCCAAAAAUUCAAACGUGAGACUUACAUAAUUUUAUGAGUCAAAUAAUUUUAUCCAUACUACCCAAUUUACCCUUGACCGAAUAUAGCCUCCAAUCAAAUUGCGGAAACGUAGUUGACAAGGUCACUUACGGAAUUCCAUACCCUAUGUUGACAAAUUCGUAAUUCCCGCCAUAACACCAGCCUAUCAGAUGAUGCCAUACAAUGAGCAUGAAUGACCUUUUCCAACGUUUCCUUGUUCAACACGUAACCUUACUGCGAUUCAACAAAUGCUGCUUAGUAAAAUUAUUUUUUCAAUUCAAAGUGUUGCAUUAUUCCAACAAAUCUCCUAUAAAUGCUGCAUUUCCGUGCUAGAUUCACAUAUCCACCCCCACAAAGUUAAUUGGGAAUACAAAAAUUCUGCAUUCUUUCUUUGUUCAAGAACAGAUAUUUUUGCGAGUCUCGAUGGAAUUUAAGAGGGCAUGCACUCUAUUGAUCAUCUUCUUUAUCGUUGUUGCUGUCUCUAGUGAGGUCCGAAUCGAGGCAGCAAGAGUUUUAUCGGAGGAUUUAUCCGGCUCGAAUCACCUUGCUACCUUUCCGGCAAUGUACGAGAAGGCGAAAUUCACCAUGUCUUACUGGCUUGAAAGGUUACCAUCUGGAUCUAGCCCCAAAGGACCAGGCCACUAAUUGAACAUUUGGAGGGCAUUUCUUUCAAUAUAAAGGACACUACAAAAAAAUUUAGCAUUGCAGGCACGGCACCGGUGUGUUUUUUAUAUAUAGGGAUGCCAUAAAAACUAUAUUUUUCUAUUUUCCUUCUUGCAUUCUUUCUUUAUUCCUUUGUUGGUUAAUCACAACCAAAUCUUAUACAAUUUAAUUAUGUAAAUGAAAUAAAUGCAUUUUUUUUUAUUAAUUACUCUGUCUCUGUAUACCUUUAGAUGUCAACAAUAUUGUUCAAGAACAGCAGAAUUUUAACUAAACUGAAAGUCUCUUUCUGGUCUAUUGUGAUUGCGUUUCACUUGAUAGAAAGAAAAAACAAAGGAAUGUUGAUAGGGAU
RNAcentral lists this long non-coding RNA (5535 nucleotides) under Olea europaea (common olive). Its description in RNAcentral is "long non-coding RNA (OEUR_LNC004187)". Lineage: Eukaryota; Viridiplantae; Streptophyta; Magnoliopsida; Lamiales; Oleaceae. The record is from RNAcentral.